Molecule: ribosomal RNA, 207 nt
Filed under: uncultured bacterium
Lineage: Bacteria
Description: partial 16S ribosomal RNA
Rfam family: Bacterial small subunit ribosomal RNA
Source: RNAcentral
UGCGUAGGCGGGUCUUUAAGUCAGGGGUGAAAUCCUGGAGCUCAACUCCAGAACUACCUUUGAUACUGAAGAUCUUGAGUUCGGGAGAGGUGAGUGGAACUGCGAGUGUAGAGGUGAAAUUCGUAGAUAUUCGCAAGAACACCAGUGGCGAAGGCGGCUCACUGGCCCGAUACUGACGCUGAGGUGCGAAAGCGUGGGGAGCAAACA